This is a long non-coding RNA of Oncorhynchus keta (chum salmon), 1685 nucleotides long. RefSeq lists it as uncharacterized. NCBI's taxonomy places the organism in Eukaryota, Metazoa, Chordata, Actinopteri, Salmoniformes, Salmonidae. The record is from RefSeq and is a predicted model, not a curated record. The transcript is spliced from 2 exons.
UUAAACGGCACAGCAGUUGAACGACUACAGACAAGUAGGAACACUUUCUGCGUAGGAUCCCUUUUAAUGGCGAGGAUUUUUUAAGUCAAAGAGAAGGUGUUCAUGUAUUCACAUGGACAGGGAAUAGUACUGUUUAUUCAAGUGCCAUAAUGUACAUUAAUGCAUUUUAAAGGGGAUAUUAUUCAUGGAUGCAAAAUAGAUGCAUUCUUUCGGGCCAUCGACACAUCAGAGCAGCACCCUGGAGGGCUUAUUGUAUGGCGGCUUCCAUGGUGACAAAGGGGAGGGGUCUGUGAACCAAGGGAGCAGCCAGUCAGGCAGGAGAGGAGAAUUCCACAGCCAGUGUAAGCCCCAGCUAGCCGGAACCAAUUAUGUUUGUCUGUAGCCUGGUCCCUGAUGUUUCUGACAGCCAAUAGCCAAAGGAGUUGGCUAAAACCCAUACACUCCUGUAGAAGGGGACUAUAUAAUAGCAUAUGCCCCAGGUUUGUGAGCGAUCAAAUAUGUUUUAUUAACAUUCCUAAACAGACAUUGUAUCUGAAUUUUUUUGUAAAUAAACAAAUUCGGGAAUUGGAUUGUUUCCAUUUUGAUAGUCCUUUCAGACCAGCACCAUCGACCAACUGGAGCUCUCUGCUCACUGCCCCUCUCAGUAACCUGUCCCCCAAAGCACCACCAACCAAUCAGCAGGCUUUAAAGACUAUCUUCCUGGACUACAAUUCCCAGGGUGCACCAAGGCUCUCCCCUUUGAUGACAUUUGAGUUUGGAGAGUCUGGAUUAGGUAGAGAAGGGAAUUAUGUCAGGGUACAUCAACCAUAUUAAUGUUAGGCAUGUUGAUGGUAAAACUCUGUGACCUGUAAACUGAUGGACUUUUUAGUUACACUGAACAAAAAAUAUAAAUGCGACAUGUGUCUGUUAUAAAGCCCUUUUGUGGGGGAAAAACUAAUUCUGAUUGGCUGGGCCUGGCCAGUGGGGAAAUCCAUAGAUUAGGGCCCAAUUUAUUUAAAUUGACUGAUUUCCUGAACUGUAACUCUGUAAAAUCGCUUAAAUUGUUGCAUAUUAAGUUUAUUUUUGUUCAAUAUAUAAUAAUGCUAUGGUAAAUGUAAGCAUUUUAUGAUUAUUCCUCGUGACUCCUUGUUUUGUUCCACAGUUUGCCAUGGUUGUUAUGAUAUCAGUAUGUCCACAUAGUUUAGAAUUUCAAGUUGUAAUGUCAUGUGCACAAGUACAGUGAAAUGAAGAACACCAUCCCAACCGUGAAGAACGAGGGUGGCAGCAUCAUGAUGUGGAGGUUCUUUGCUGCAGGAGGGACUGGUGCACUUCACAAAAUACAUGGCAUCGCGAGGAAGGGAAAUUAUGUGGAUAUAUUGAAGAAACAUCUCAAGACAUCAAAGUUAAAGUUUUGUCACAAAUGGGUCUUCCAUGGCUUUUUCCUGGCUGCUAUUUCCUCCACCAUCACUUCAAGCUCUUGUUUACUGGAGUUUUUAUUGAGCUUUCCUUGUUUAUCCAUUUUUGUGGGUUGAUGUAGAGUAGCUAACGUUAGUCUGAUGGCUAUAAUGUGUGAAAAUAAAGUUUUUUGUUUGUGUGUAAAGGGUUUGCGAGCCAACUAAAACAUUUUUAUUCUCGAGACAUAAAACAAAAAAAUCUAUGUAAUAAAAUUGAAAUAUCAACACUUUACUAAAGUGGGCCAAAUCUUA